GACGAACGCUGGCGGCGUGCUUAACACAUGCAAGUCGAGCGGUAAGGCCCUUUCGGGGGUACACGAGCGGCGAACGGGUGAGUAACACGUGGGUGACCUGCCCUCAGCUCUGGGAUAAGCCUGGGAAACCGGGUCUAAUACUGGAUAUGACUCCAUGACGCAUGUUGUGGGGUGGAAAGCCCUGUGCGGCUGAGGAUGGGCCCGCGGCCUAUCAGCUUGUUGGUGGGGUGAUGGCCUACCAAGGCGACGACGGGUAGCCGGCCUGAGAGGGCGACCGGCCACACUGGGACUGAGACACGGCCCAGACUCCUACGGGAGGCAGCAGUGGGGAAUCUUGCGCAAUGGGCGAAAGCCUGACGCAGCGACGCCGCGUGA
This 375-nucleotide ribosomal RNA is filed under the name uncultured bacterium. RNAcentral describes it as "bacterial SSU rRNA". It matches the Rfam family "Bacterial small subunit ribosomal RNA", at positions 28 to 404 of the family's 1533-position model. The record is from RNAcentral.